RNAcentral lists this transfer RNA (69 nucleotides) under Phrynosoma platyrhinos (Desert horned lizard). RNAcentral describes it as "tRNA-OTHER". Lineage: Eukaryota; Metazoa; Chordata; Lepidosauria; Squamata; Phrynosomatidae. The record is from RNAcentral.
UCCAGCAUGGCAUAGUGGUUUGAGCAUUGGACUAUGACUCUGGAGACCAGGGCUCGAUUCCUGCUGGGC